Molecule: long non-coding RNA, 406 nt
Organism: Ictalurus punctatus (channel catfish)
Lineage: Eukaryota; Metazoa; Chordata; Actinopteri; Siluriformes; Ictaluridae
Source: Ensembl
AAAAAAUAUUACAAUAAUAUUGGCGUUAGAAAAUAUAAUUUUAUCAUGUAACCUUUAUAUAAUUUAACCCGAGGCAGUGCUUUAAUUUAACGUGGGGAAGUGAACACACAAAACUGUUAGAAGACUGUUGCUAGGCAACCGUGGACCCGACGCCUUAGCUAGGAGCUAGCUGGGCUAACGCCACAGCUAGGUAUUUUAUACGGCUCUUCCUGAGGUAAAGUGUGUGUAGUAGAGGAGGAGGAAGAACACUAAACUGUGCAGGACAGGGGGUUCUCCAGGACCAGGGCUGUGGAAGAGAAAACACCAGUUGAUGUGGAUACAUGAAUGAUAUGUGUCCGGACCAGAAAAAUGUCAACAGAGGCCUGGACUGAAGAACAUAACUAGAUAUGCUCCGUGUUUUUCUGAG